AAAGUAAAGUAAUCUUUAUUUAAAGUCGGGUUGCAUAUAUACAUAAUAACAAAGAACAUAAGCUCUUAAGAGCUCUUUAACCGACUGAUAUUAAUAAACAAAACAUACAUGUAAUAACAUCAGAUACACAUACAACACAAACAUACAGACAUCACAUAUAUAUAUUAAUACAUAGAUAGCACAUGCAGAAUAAAAGCUAAGCAAGAUAUAUUAAAACAAAUGUCUAAUACCAGCAC
Molecule: long non-coding RNA, 236 nt
Filed under: Mytilus galloprovincialis (Mediterranean mussel)
Lineage: Eukaryota; Metazoa; Mollusca; Bivalvia; Mytilida; Mytilidae
Source: RNAcentral